Molecule: ribosomal RNA, 480 nt
Filed under: uncultured bacterium
Lineage: Bacteria
Description: partial 16S ribosomal RNA
Rfam family: Bacterial small subunit ribosomal RNA
Source: RNAcentral
GACGAACGCUGGCGGCGCGCUUCAAACAUGCAAGUCGAACGUGAAGCCCGGAGCUUGCUCCGGGUGGAAAGUGGCGAACGGGUGAGGAACACGUGAGGAACCUGCCCCGAAGACCGGGAUAACUCCGGGAAACCGGAGCUAAUACCGGAGGCCCUCACCGGACCGCAUGAUCCGGUGAGGAAAUGGAUUCCGCUUCGGGAUGGUCUCGCGCACUAUCAGCUUGUUGGUGAGGUAACGGCUCACCAAGGCGACGACUGUUAGCUGGUCUGAGAGGAUGUCCAGCCACACUGGGACUGAGACACGGCCCAGACUCCUACGGGAGGCAGCAGUUAGGAAUCUUGCGCAAUGAGCGAAAGCUUGACGCAGCGACGCCGCGUGCGGGAUGAAGGCCCUCGGGUUGUAAACCGCUUUCAGCAGGGACGAAAUUGACGGUACCUGCAGAAGAAGCCCCGGCCAACUACGUGCCAGCAGCCGCAGUAA